AUGAAGUUAAAUGCUUCUCCAGGGCCAGAUGGUUUUAAUGUCGAGUUUUAUUUGGCUACUUGGGAUUGGAUAGGAGACGAUGUCACUCAAUUGGUAGUCAAUUUUUAUAGAACAGGUAUAUUGCCCCCUCACGUGAGUGAUACAAACAUUGCUCUCAUUCCUAAAAAACUUGUUCCUCAGGUUCCUAUGGAAUAUCGUCCCAUUAGUCUUUGCAAUGUUAUUUAUAAAAUCAUUGCCAAAUCUUUAGCUAAUUGUCUUAAGCCUCAUCUUCUAGAUUAUAUUGACCCUGCUCAACAAGCUUUCAUUGAAGGUAGAAGAAUUAGUGACAAUAUCAUUAUU
RNAcentral lists this ribosomal RNA (339 nucleotides) under Triticum aestivum (bread wheat). RNAcentral describes it as "partial small subunit ribosomal RNA". The record is from RNAcentral. Lineage: Eukaryota; Viridiplantae; Streptophyta; Magnoliopsida; Poales; Poaceae.